AUUAAAUUAUUGUAAUUGCAUUUGCUGAGGGGUGUGGCUCGUCAAGUGAAAGAAUCAAAUUCAAUUACGCGAUGGCACACACCCGAUGGUUUUGGAAAGUACUAUUACUAUCGUCUCCCUUGGAUUGCAAUUCAAACAAAUGGCUGAUUAAAUGAUUAUCCGAACCCUGGGGGUCCCUCAUGCAUCCUCAUCAGACGACAUCCUCAUCAACGUUUGUGCCAAAAUUGCACAGAGCAGAGCAUUGUGUAUGUGUUUGGCCAGGAAAAUUAGAUUCGAGUGUGCAAACAUCCUGGCGGAGGAGAACCAUUUUGCAGGCGCUAAGUUAGCCGGGAUUAUUUUCCCAUAAAUCAGCAUAAAAAAAUCCACAACCAGGCCGACGGCCUAUGCUCCGCAAAAUGGCCAGCACACAAUGGUCACAAAAUGGCAACGCAUAUCCGAAAUGAAGUCAAGCGAAAAUUAGGUCGUUGGGGAGUAAAGGCACCAAAGGGAUCCAAUGGAUCCAAUGGCUCCAAAGGAUCCGGCUAGCCCUUGGGCCAUCCAGCAACCACUUGCUGGCAUUUGUGCCGCUUCCGCUGGCUUACAGUGAAGCUGGGCGGAAACGGAAAUUGAGUCAAGCGUUUCAGUUUGCAGACUGCAAUUUCAUUUAUAAACAAACACAAAACGAAGAACAUUGAUUCGAAUACAGAUACUGGCAACUCGUGCCCCAUUGCCAGUGAGUUGGCCGUCUAUAAAUAGACGCAUUAUUUAUUUAAGCUCAGCAUUUAAUUGGAAAAUCAUGCCCAAUGUCGUCAUUUUGUUAACGAAAAUAAACACUCGAUUCGCCGCGGUCAUGGCAUCCACUAGUUAUUUAUAAGUUUCUCAUAAUUUCUGUAGACAUUUUUCGGCUCCUUGCGACAAAAGCAAUUAAAUAAAUCUCAACAUUUUCACUUUGUCGCUCAAAGAACAUUCGUAGCACAAUGUUGGAGGAAUUAUUUGUUUUGUAUUUAAAAUUUUUCCCCUUUUGCCAAUUAUCGGCUUCUCUAAAUCUAAAUCUUAUAAUAUAAGCCAAAC
Drosophila melanogaster (fruit fly) is the source of this 1050-nucleotide non-coding RNA. The record is from Ensembl. Lineage: Eukaryota; Metazoa; Arthropoda; Insecta; Diptera; Drosophilidae.